This 492-nucleotide ribosomal RNA is filed under the name uncultured bacterium. RNAcentral describes it as "partial 16S ribosomal RNA". It matches the Rfam family "Bacterial small subunit ribosomal RNA", at positions 29 to 507 of the family's 1533-position model. The record is from RNAcentral.
AGUGAACGCUGGCGGUAGGCCUAACACAUGCAAGUCGAACGGCAGCACAGUAAGAGCUUGCUCUUACGGGUGGCGAGUGGCGGACGGGUGAGGAAUACAUCGGAAUCUACUUUUUCGUGGGGGAUAACGUAGGGAAACUUACGCUAAUACCGCAUACGACCUACGGGUGAAAGCAGGGGAUCUUCGGACCUUGCGCGAUUGAAUGAGCCGAUGUCGGAUUAGCUAGUUGGCGGGGUAAAGGCCCACCCAGGCGACGAUCCGUAGCUGGUCUGAGAGGAUGAACAGCCACACUGGAACUGAGGCACGGUCCAGACUCCUACGGGAGGCAGCAGUGGGGAAUAUUGGGCCAUGGGCGCGAGCCUGAUCCAGCCAUACCGCGUGGGUGAAGAAGGCCUUCGGGUUGUAAAGCCCUUUUGUUGGGAAAGAAAAGCAGCAGGUUAAUACCCCGCUGUUCUGACGGUACCCAAAGAAUAAGCACCGGCUAACUUCGUG